This 468-nucleotide ribosomal RNA is filed under the name uncultured bacterium. Its description in RNAcentral is "partial 16S ribosomal RNA". It matches the Rfam family "Bacterial small subunit ribosomal RNA", at positions 28 to 507 of the family's 1533-position model. The record is from RNAcentral.
GACGAACGCUGGCGGCGUGCUUAACACAUGCAAGUCGAACGGAAAGGCCCUGCUUUUGUGGGGUGCUCGAGUGGCGAACGGGUGAGUAACACGUGAGUAACCUGCCCUUGACUUUGGGAUAACUUCAGGAAACUGGGGCUAAUACCGGAUAGGAGCUCCUGCUGCAUGGUGGGGGUUGGAAAGUUUCGGCGGUUGGGGAUAGACUCGCGGCUUAUCAGCUUGUUGGUGGGGUAGUGGCUUACCAAGGCUUUGACGGGUAGCCGGCCUGAGAGGGUGACCGGCCACAUUGGGACUGAGAUACGGCCCAGACUCCUACAGGAGGCAGCAGUGGGGAAUAUUGCACAAUGGGCGGAAGCCUGAUGCAGCAACGCCGCGUGCGGGAUGACGGCCUUCGGGUUGUAAACCGCUUUCGCCUGUGACGAAGCGUGAGUGACGGUAAUGGGUAAAGAAGCACCGGCUAACUACGUG